This is a small RNA of Eubacterium sp. CAG:161, 87 nucleotides long. It matches the Rfam family "GA-cis RNA". Lineage: Bacteria; Bacillati; Bacillota; Clostridia; Eubacteriales; Eubacteriaceae. The record is from Rfam.
UUGAGGCGGAAACCAAAUAAACGAAGUUUAUUUAUUAAGAUGUUUCCGACGACUUGCCGCCGACCUAAGGAGGGGGCGCUACAUUAA